UGUUAAAGAACUUAGUUUAAAAAGGCCAAGAUCUACCACUGCAAUGUGGGCCAUCUCUAGUGGUCCUGAUCUAUAUCUUGCCAAGUGGACUUAGAGGACUCUGGAAGAGAACGUAUGGCAGUGAAAGAUAGAGUGUGGAGUAAACAAUGCUCUGCACCCCAUAGGCCGUGCUACCAUUAGUGCUUACAGGGUAGCUGAAGAUCCUUUUGCCUACAUCUGUGAAAACCCAGUCUUUUAAUGAUGUUUUCCUUACAAGAUUAUGAUCACCAGGAGCAGAAGCAAGUUUAUUUGGUGAGCAAAUAAGCCAAAGAGGAAGAAAGGAUUUUGCUAACCCUGGAGAGGUACUUAGUUGCGUCAGAGGUACAGAAAGUGACAACGGGGACUGGACAUGAUUUUGGCCAACAAGAAGGAACUAGUUGGUGAAAUAUAAACAACUGGAACCUAGGGAGAAAGAGACCGUUUUUCUACAUAGAGGAGGUGACACAUGAGCAAGCUCAGACAUAGCCCCUAUAUUUUAGGGUAGCUCAGUUUCUCUGCACAACCAUCCCAGAUUCCACCAAAAACAGACGUUUUGGGAGAGGGGCUUUUGGAGACUCUGUUUGUGAACACUUUGGGGAUGGUUCACAGAGAGUUUGGGGAGAGAGAUGUCCAAAGGAGGAGGAGUAAUCCGUCUACCCCAAUUACUCUCUAAUUCAGAGGGAGAUAAUGACUAACUGAUUACUUCUAGCAUGGUUUUGAAGACCAUGGAACAAAUAUGGUGCUAAAUGGACUAGACUCCAACUGCCCCCUCAGGGACACUCUCUCUGCCGCCCAUUCCACAGGAGAGGAAGCUAUUGGGUUAAUUUAACUGUACUUUCUAAAUACACCCCCCCCACACUCAGCUCACCCCCUAACGUCUAAGCAAGAAAAACCAUUUCCUGUCCUUACAGUCAGAAGUGUUUAGCACUGGCUGGGGCAUUUCCAAUGUGCUAUGCUAGCCUGACCCUCCUAUUUCUCCCACCCUUCCUCCUCUCUGUCUGUUCCUUCUUUGAUAUUGGAUACCUCCUGUUAGGAAAAAAAAAAGAAAAAAAAGAAAGAAAGAAUUAGCGCCUUUGGUUUCAUGUUUUUAUUUAAGGGACAGAGCAGAGCAGAAAGUAAGCCUGGAAUACCAGCAGUAGAGUUAUCCAGUCCCCACCAUCAGAGGCAUGUACCUCGGCACCUUGGCAGGGAAGCAGUCGAACAAUGGGGCUCUCCUAGCAACUGCCAAACCCAGUAGCACUGCCUACAUUUUCUAAGGCAGCCCACGUUGAUAAGCAAGGAUAAAUAAGGAACAAAGAGAAGACUUUCUAAGCUGAAGCUUCAUCCCCCAGAUUAGCCACUUCUAAACUUUUUGCUGUUAGAAUUUCUUUAUAUUCUUAAAAGUUACAAGAAUAUCAAAGAGCUUUUAUUUAUACAUGUUUUAGCUAUCACUAUUUACUAUAGUAGGAAUUAAAAUGGAUAUAUUUUAAAAUAUUGAUUCAUAAAAUAACAACAAUAAACUCAUUAUAUGUUGACAUAAAUAUCAUUUUAAUUUAAAUAACUAUUUUCCAAAACAUGCAAAAAAAUUUAGUGAAAAAAGUAGAAUUCAUUUUUUUUAUGUCUACAAAUCUCUUUAGUGUCUGGCUUAAUAGAAGACAAAUGGAUUCUCAUAUCUGCUUAUGCAUUCAAUCUGUUGCGAUAUGUUGUUUUGGCUGAGGUGUAUGAAUAAAAUCCAACUUCAUACAGAAAUGUAUUUGGAAAAGGGAAGAGUAUUUUAAUAGGCAAAUAACAUCUGAUUGAUUAAUACUAUGAGUUUGAUCUCUGGUGCCCUCUAAAAGGGUUUCAAGGACAUCUUCCCCAGGUCCCUAAACCACUUUUUGAGACUUGCUGCCCUAGAGGACACAUAUUACAAAUAUAGAAUAUGCAUAUGGUAAAUAUGUGUAUAACAUACAACAUGUCAUAGAUAUAACAUGUAUGUUAUAUUUGCAUGUACUUAUAAGAUAUACAAUAUUAUAUGUAUAAAAUGUUUGUGUUUUUUAGAAAGUCCAAAAGCCAGGGAUGGGAGGGGAUGGAGGAAAGGGAUUGUCUCAGGGUAGAUUCACUUGAGUUCAUCUAUCCCUGCCCUCAAACUUAUGCUACCAUAUUGACCAUACAUUCACAAAUUGCUAUACAGUUGUUCAAUAAAUACGACAUUCAGUUGGUUAAAUUUCGAAAUAUCUGGAGAAAAGAUAAAGAUGACUCCAUGGCCUGAUAUAAGGUUAGAGAAAGCUCUCAAAAAAUCUUUUAUUUUUCAAUAAGUUUAUAUGUCAUUAAAAAAAUAUUCCUCUGCUCCUAUGACCACAAA
Molecule: long non-coding RNA, 2341 nt
Organism: Antechinus flavipes (yellow-footed antechinus)
Lineage: Eukaryota; Metazoa; Chordata; Mammalia; Dasyuromorphia; Dasyuridae
Exons: 4
Source: RefSeq, a predicted model, not a curated record